UGUGGUAAUCGGCCGGCGGAGAUUGACCGGGAACGGAGGAUUCAGGACCAUAAACACGGAGGGAUCCAUCGGAACAAGCAACAAGCAAAUUUGAACCAUAAGACUCGACAGCAUCGAUUUUCGUCGGACAACUAUUGAGAAGUUCGAAAGAAUCGUAGGCACUGUGCACCAUUUUUUUUUAGCUUUCUUCUUCUUCUCCGAUCAAAUUUCUCUCCGUUCAACAGUCCACGCAGAACGACGUCGUGUUGACAUGAUAAUG
This 259-nucleotide unclassified non-coding RNA is filed under the name Hevea brasiliensis (rubber tree). The record is from RNAcentral. Lineage: Eukaryota; Viridiplantae; Streptophyta; Magnoliopsida; Malpighiales; Euphorbiaceae.